RNAcentral lists this long non-coding RNA (832 nucleotides) under Oryza brachyantha (malo sina). RNAcentral describes it as "long non-coding RNA (OBRA_LNC002876)". The record is from RNAcentral. Lineage: Eukaryota; Viridiplantae; Streptophyta; Magnoliopsida; Poales; Poaceae.
CCCUCCUCUUCGUGUCGCCCGGCCAGCCUCGUCGUCUACUCUGCCUGGUGACCGUGCUGGCCACACGCCUCCUCGGCACCUUGGGCACGACAGAUCCAGCUCAGGCGUGGCGACGACUCCUCCCCGCGGCGAUGACGACCUCGGCGAUGACGAGGGUGGCCAAGCGGUGCGAGGACGAGGGCGACCGGGGCAGAGUGGAUCUAGGCGGUGCGGUUGUACCAGUGACGGCGACGACGACAACGGGGGCGGUGGCGGUGACGGCGGCGCUAGUUUUUAUUCAUUUUAUUAUUUUUUGGAAUUUUAUUUUUUUCGUGAUUUUAUCUCUUUGCAUGCGGUCAGCUUAAGCACCCGCAUGCGAAAAUCGGAUUUUCGCAUGCAGUUGUGCUAGCCGCAUGUAAAGAUCGCUAUUUUUGCAGACGAUUUCGCGCAUGCGGCUGGCCCAACCGCAUGCAAAAAUCCUUAUCGCCCGUUUGCAAUAGCUGGUUCUGUGGUAGUCAGCACCCUUUGGGUUCGGACAUGAGGUGCGUGUCACGCCUAGAAAUUUCUCACAUGAAUUUAUGAACUUAAUUGUGUAUUAAAAUCCCUGUCCAGGACCAGGCAGGGUACACAAAAAGACAAUAUUGAUUACAUAAGCAUCAUUCUUAGAAACAACUGAAAAUAACACUUAUUCUAACGAAAAUGCAGCAGAAAGAAAGGUAGACUAGCUCCAGCGGGUACGGCUCCAGUCCACAGGCAAAGCUUCAACGGUAGACCAGCUCACUCCUGAGAGUCACCUCCAUCGGACUCAACUUCUAGCUCUGGAGGGAGAAAUUGAGCAAGGCUGAGUACAAAC